This is a non-coding RNA of Peromyscus maniculatus bairdii (prairie deer mouse), 2143 nucleotides long. The record is from RefSeq and is a predicted model, not a curated record. Lineage: Eukaryota; Metazoa; Chordata; Mammalia; Rodentia; Cricetidae.
CCCCGCCCUCGCCGGCCCGGCCCCGCCCCCUCCCGCAGCGCAGCGCCCGGCGCGCUGUCGUCACCAGCCCAGCUCUGAAGGACGCGCCCAGCUCUCGACUCGGCACGGUGGAUUGGGUUCCGGCAGGCCGGGGGGGCGGGACCUCAGCGGGGAUGCUGAUUCUAAUUGGUUGCGAUGAGUAGGGGAGGCGGGCACUAGAAUGACUGAAGUUUAGAGAGGGAGGAAAAAAGAAGUUUAGAGUAUGAGGGAGGGAGCUAAGGGAGGGGGAGAGAGAGGGCUGGUCUGGGAGCGGGCACAGGUCGCCAGGCCGGGAGAGGCCCUCCGCCCAGGGCCUAGAGCCAAGGGAAACGCGAACGCAGAAAAGGGACCCAAGUCCCCAAGGUGGGGGCGUGACCAGAUGGGCAGGGGGCGGGGCCUCGGAGCCUGAGCAGAACGUCUAGCCUGGGAGUGCUUGGAUCUGGCGAGCCCAGAUCCCAGCUACCCGGAGCGGCCGGGCCUCGAAACGGAUUCGACCGGUUUGGGUUCGUUUAUUCGUUCAACGAAUGUUCCUGAACGAUCCAUUGUGGCAAGGGAUUCGGAGUCCGGUUAUGAAGGGUAAACUGCAGCCCGGCGCUUGACUGCUGUGUGAUCUUGGGCAAGUUAGACAGCCUGUCUGAAACAAGCAUCUCCAGCUGAGAGUGAAGAUCUACACUAGCCACUGGGCUCCAAGAAUGAAGAAACAGUGAUCCUGCUCGCGAGGAGAUUGCAGCUUAACAGGAGAGCCUGACAAGCAGAUCACUUGAGGAAAACGGGAAGGAGGUGGAUUAAAACCCAGCCUGGUGCCUGCAGAGCUAAGUCCUGACCCCGGUGGCUUGACCUUGGCCAAAUCUCCGCUUCACGUCUGUCUGUAAAGAAGGUGGAAGGAGUGACUGUGAACAAUAGAGACCUCAGAUCCCUCCCAGCUCCAGUUUUUCAGAAACACUUAAGCUUUUCUCCUCCCUUAUUGGACGCGUUCUUUCUUGUCGAUGGAAUGCCCUCUGUUCUUAAAAAUCCUACCUCAUCCAAGUAGUCUUCCAGGAUUUCUAGGAAAGUGUUUUUUCUCUGAACUGGGGCACCUAGUCUCACUUUUGUGACAGGGCAUGCCUUCUGACUCCCUUUAAUAAUAAUAGCCCUUAUUUAAACUCUGAGGAACUCCACAGACUGGACCAAGCUCCAGACAGCUGCAGUGAUUUCCUUCACACCGUUGAAUUGGGGAAAUAAAAAACACAAAAUGUGGGCGGGGAUCAAGAAACCACGAGGGAAGUGGAGCCCUGAAGCUGCAGGCUUAGGACCUGCCAGGCAGAGAAGGGACCUUUAUCUAGACCCAGGCCAAGAGGCUGCCAGACAGGAAACUGUAACCUUCAGUCCUUGAUGGCAGUCUGCUCAGCAGUCUCCCAAGAGAGAAACUAGGCGAUUUCUAUAGUACCACCCUCCAUCCUAGUGAGGCUCCCUCUGACCAAGUCGAUGGCUUCUGAUGCCCUUCACACUCUUGAUGGGAGUAGAGGAAGCCCAGCAUCUGGAAGCCAGUGGGGGAAAUAUUUAUCGCAGGCAUCAUGUGGAUUACUCAGAUUGACCCACAUCUGAGAUAAAAUUCAAUUUGUUUUAUGAACAACUACUUAAUGCUAAUACAUUCCUGGAUAAAAACUCGAUCACCUUAACGUCUAUUUUGGCUGAGACUCUGACACACAUUUCUCUGCCUAAACUCUAUCUGUUUGGAAUGGCUUGGGCAGCAAGGGACAAAACAUCUGACAAAUAGUAGCUUGGAAUGUGAGGUCAUUUAUCACAUCUUUACCAUGAAGUUUAAAUGCUGGUAGUUUCAGGACUAGCUGGACAGGAAGAUUAUCUGUUAUCAAGGACUGAAGAUCUUUUUGUUUUUACUCUUUGCCAUCAUAGCCAUAUGAACUUUUGUCUCCAAGCCUGUCCCCUCUUAAUUACAAGGUGGCUGCCACAGCUCCAGACAUCAUACCCUCAGGGGUCACUAUAUGAAGCAAGAGAGGAGGGCUGGGCUCCUCUCUUUCUGUUGCCACAGACUCCUUCAUCCAUCCAUUUCCCAGAUACACCGAGUGGAUCAUGAGCUGAUGUGGCUUUAAUUGCUCCUCUACAGCAAUAAACAGACUUACAAGGC